Molecule: ribosomal RNA, 255 nt
Filed under: uncultured bacterium
Lineage: Bacteria
Description: partial 16S ribosomal RNA
Rfam family: Bacterial small subunit ribosomal RNA
Source: RNAcentral
UACGAAGGGGGCUAGCGUUGCUCGGAAUCACUGGGCGUAAAGGGUGCGUAGGCGGGUCUUUUAAGUCAGGGGUGAAAUCCUGGAGCUCAACUCCAGAACUGCCUUUGAUACUGAGGAUCUUGAGUUCGGGAGAGGUGAGUGGAACUGCGAGUGUAGAGGUGAAAUUCGUAGAUAUUCGCAAGAACACCAGUGGCGAAGGCGGCUCACUGGCCCGGUACUGACGCUGAGGUGCGAAAGCGUGGGGAGCAAACAGGG